RNAcentral lists this ribosomal RNA (465 nucleotides) under Vreelandella stevensii. RNAcentral describes it as "partial 16S ribosomal RNA". It matches the Rfam family "Bacterial small subunit ribosomal RNA", at positions 338 to 795 of the family's 1533-position model. The record is from RNAcentral. Lineage: Bacteria; Pseudomonadati; Pseudomonadota; Gammaproteobacteria; Oceanospirillales; Halomonadaceae.
CCUACGGGUGGCUGCAGUGGGGAAUAUUGGACAAUGGGCGAAAGCCUGAUCCAGCCAUGCCGCGUGUGUGAAGAAGGCCUUCGGGUUGUAAAGCACUUUCAGUGGGGAAGAAAGCCUUGGGGCUAAUACCCUCGAGGAAGGACAUCACCCACAGAAGAAGCACCGGCUAACUCCGUGCCAGCAGCCGCGGUAAUACGGAGGGUGCGAGCGUUAAUCGGAAUUACUGGGCGUAAAGCGCGCGUAGGCGGUCUGAUAAGCCGGUUGUGAAAGCCCCGGGCUCAACCUGGGAACGGCAUCCGGAACUGUCAGGCUAGAGGGCAGGAGAGGAAGGUAGAAUUCCCGGUGUAGCGGUGAAAUGCGUAGAGAUCGGGAGGAAUACCAGUGGCGAAGGCGGCCUUCUGGACUGACACUGACGCUGAGGUGCGAAAGCGUGGGUAGCAAACAGGAUUAGAUACCCGUGUAGUC